Molecule: ribosomal RNA, 391 nt
Filed under: uncultured organism
Description: bacterial SSU rRNA
Rfam family: Bacterial small subunit ribosomal RNA
Source: RNAcentral
UGGAUUAGGCAUGCAAGUCGAACGAAUCCCUGAGGGCUUGCUUUCAGGGGAAAGUGGCGAAAGGGGCAGUAAGGCGUGGGUAACCUACCCUGGGGUCCGGUAUAGCCGUCCUAACGGACGGGUAAUCCCGGGCGAUGUAACGUGGUCGCAUGGCCGUGUUACCAAAGGUUUACCGCCCGAGGAGGGGCCCACGUGGUAUUAGCUUGUUGGCGAGGUAACGGCUCACCAAGGCAAAGAUGCCUAGCGGGUGUGAGAGCACGACCCGCGCCACUGGCACUGAGACACUGGCCAGACUCCUACGGGAGGCUGCAGUCGAGGAUCUUCGGCAAUGGGCGCAAGCCUGACCGAGCGACGCCGCGUGUGCGAUGAAGGCCUUCGGGUUGUAAAGCAC